UACAGAGGUGGCAAGCGUUGUUCGGAAUUACUGGGCGUAAAGGGCGCGUAGGCGGCCUUCUAAGUCAGACGUGAAAUCCCCCGGCUUAACCUGGGAACUGCGUCUGAUACUGGGAGGCUUGAGUAUGGGAGAGGGAUGUAGAAUUCCAGGUGUAGCGGUGAAAUGCGUAGAUAUCUGGAGGAAUACCGGUGGCGAAGGCGGCAUCCUGGACCAUAACUGACGCUGAGGCGCGAAAGCUAGGGGAGCAAGCGGG
Molecule: ribosomal RNA, 253 nt
Filed under: uncultured bacterium
Lineage: Bacteria
Description: partial 16S ribosomal RNA
Rfam family: Bacterial small subunit ribosomal RNA
Source: RNAcentral